This 468-nucleotide ribosomal RNA is filed under the name uncultured bacterium. RNAcentral's name for it is "partial 16S ribosomal RNA". It matches the Rfam family "Bacterial small subunit ribosomal RNA", at positions 28 to 507 of the family's 1533-position model. The record is from RNAcentral.
GACGAACGCUGGCGGCGUGCUUAACACAUGCAAGUCGAACGGAAAGGCCCUGCUUUUGUGGGGUGCUCGAGUGGCGAACGGGUGAGUAACACGUGAGUAACCUGCCCUUGACUUUGGGAUAACUUCAGGAAACUGGGGCUAAUACCGGAUAGGAGCUCCUGCUGCAUGGUGGGGGUUGGAAAGUUUCGGCGGUUGGGGAUGGACUCGCGGCUUAUCAGCUUGUUGGUGGGGUAGUGGCUUACCAAGGCUUUGACGGGUAGCCGGCCUGAGAGGGUGACCGGCCACAUUGGGACUGAGAUACGGCCCAGACUCCUACGGGAGGCAGCAGUGGGGAAUAUUGCACAAUGGGCGGAAGCCUGAUGCAGCAACGCCGCGUGCGGGAUGACGGCCUUCGGGUUGUAAACCGCUUUCGCCUGAGACGAAGCGUGAGUGACGGUAAUGGGUAAAGAAGCACCGGCUAACUACGUG